This 815-nucleotide long non-coding RNA is filed under the name Bos taurus (domestic cattle). RNAcentral describes it as "long non-coding RNA NONBTAT015687". The record is from RNAcentral. Lineage: Eukaryota; Metazoa; Chordata; Mammalia; Artiodactyla; Bovidae.
UGAGUCUCCUGCAUUGCUGGCAGAUUCUUUGUCAUCUGAGCCACCAGGGAAGCCCUUCUACAUAGGGUUGCUGCUGCUGCUGCUACUUCUAAAUCUCUUCAUCCAUGGGGUCCAAUGACAGGACUUAGCACAGGCAUGCAUGCCAAGAUGUUAAGUACCUUUCCCAGGAUUGCCUGGCUGCUGAAUGGAGGGGUCAGAAUCCGAACCGAGGUCAGCCUCAGAUUUAAUGAGCACGUGCUGUGAGUGGGCUCUGUGCUCGGUCCUGCUCUUAAGGGAGAGCCGUCCGGGCUAGAGUGGAGACGUGGUUGAUGUGCUGCGUUCACUGCUGCUUACGGUCACCACACCCUCUUCAGUCUCAGCUUGCCUCUACUUACCCUCUGCUGAGCCGUCAGUCAGGAAGAUAUUUUUAAAGCAAUUCCUUUGUACACUAAGUCACCUCCAUAUGGACGUGUUCCAUUUCAAGAGCGCGUCCAUAAGUCCAGUUGUUCAGAAGUCUGACAGAGUUGACCUAGGUACCCAACCCACAUAAUCAGCUAUAUAGUACUGUACUGUAAUCGUUUAUAAUACUUUUCACACAAAUAAUACGUAAAAAUAAAGAAAACAUUGGAGCCUUCCAGUACAGUACCUUGAUGAGUGCAGCAGGGCGGCACACUGGCAUCCAGGGACACGCUCACAUCUUCGAGAGUUCACAGCUUGAAGGCUCGCACUGCAUGGUGCGUCGGAGAGCGUGAGGCGGUGUGCUGCACUUGUGGGAACACGGGCUCUAGAGGACAGAACUGGGUUCCUAUACUGCCUCUUGCCCUUGGAAGGCUUAA